GACAGAGGGUGCAAACGUCGUUCGGAAUUACUGGGCGUAAAGCGCGUGUAGGCUGUCUCGAAAGUCGGAUGUGAAAGCCCUGGGCUCAACCUAGGAAGUGCAUUCGAAACUUCGAGACUCGAGUCCUGGAGAGGAUCGCGGAAUUCUCGGUGUAGAGGUGAAAUUCGUAGAUAUCGAGAGGAACACCGGUGGCGAAGGCGGCGAUCUGGACAGUGACUGACGCUGAGACGCGAAAGCGUGGGGAGCAAACAGG
This 253-nucleotide ribosomal RNA is filed under the name uncultured bacterium. RNAcentral's name for it is "partial 16S ribosomal RNA". It matches the Rfam family "Bacterial small subunit ribosomal RNA", at positions 524 to 776 of the family's 1533-position model. The record is from RNAcentral.